Molecule: non-coding RNA, 94 nt
Organism: Lyophyllum atratum
Lineage: Eukaryota; Fungi; Basidiomycota; Agaricomycetes; Agaricales; Lyophyllaceae
Source: the annotation of a GenBank genome assembly
GCCCUGUUGGUGUAACUGCAGCACACCCUGUCUACAUAAAUGGAGUUGCUGAAAUUGCAUCAGGGAGGAGCUCGUUCGACUCGGGCGCAGGGCA